GUGAAGGAAAAGAUUCGAUACAUCUUACGCCGUAAUUUCUUCAUGGCCAAGACCUGUUGAGACAAGUUUUCGCGAUGGAAUCAGCCUGCGGAUGAGACUGUGUUUUAAGUUUUAACCGUGGAAGGGAAAACACAGGAAUUUAUUAAAU
Caenorhabditis elegans is the source of this 148-nucleotide non-coding RNA. The record is from Ensembl. Lineage: Eukaryota; Metazoa; Nematoda; Chromadorea; Rhabditida; Rhabditidae.